Molecule: long non-coding RNA, 240 nt
Organism: Cataglyphis hispanica
Lineage: Eukaryota; Metazoa; Arthropoda; Insecta; Hymenoptera; Formicidae
Exons: 3
Source: RefSeq, a predicted model, not a curated record
AUGAAUAUCAUCGGAGACCCUAUUGCUAAAAUGGUCAAAAAUAUUAUUUAACCAUCGGUUGAAGGUUUACAAAAUAGAUUUGACAGCGAUUAUAUGCCAGACACAGAUGAUCUACAGUACAGCAAAGAAUUGGAAAAUGAAGACUGUUAUCAAGUUGAGAUGCUAGAAGAAGAAAAUUUAAAUGCAAUAACUUGGGCUGAAUGGACACCAGCUAAGCUGAGUUAUGAAAAAAGCAAUUGC